AAGUCGAGCGGGCGUAGCAAUACGUCAGCGGCAGACGGGUGAGUAACGCGUGGGAACGUACCUUUUGGUUCGGAACAACACAGGGAAACUUGUGCUAAUACCGGAUAAGCCCUUACGGGGAAAGAUUUAUCGCCGAAAGAUCGGCCCGCGUCUGAUUAGCUAGUUGGUGAGGUAAUGGCUCACCAAGGCGACGAUCAGUAGCUGGUCUGAGAGGAUGAUCAGCCACAUUGGGACUGAGACACGGCCCAAACUCCUACGGGAGGCAGCAGUGGGGAAUAUUGGACAAUGGGGGCAACCCUGAUCCAGCCAUGCCGCGUGAGUGAUGAAGGCCCUAGGGUUGUAAAGCUCUUUUGUGCGGGAAGAUAAUGACGGUACCGCAAGAAUAAGCCCCGGCUAACUUCGUGCCAGCAGCCGCGGUAAUACGAAGGGGGCUAGCGUUGCUCGGAAUCACUGGGCGUAAAGGGUGCGUAGGCGGGUCUUUAAGUCAGGGGUGAAAUCCUGGAGCUCAACUCCAGAACUGCCUUUGAUACUGAAGAUCUUGAGUUCGGGAGAGGUGAGUGGAACUGCGAGUGUAGAGGUGAAAUUCGUAGAUAUUCGCAAGAACACCAGUGGCGAAGGCGGCU
RNAcentral lists this ribosomal RNA (623 nucleotides) under Bradyrhizobium japonicum. RNAcentral's name for it is "bacterial SSU rRNA". It matches the Rfam family "Bacterial small subunit ribosomal RNA", at positions 59 to 726 of the family's 1533-position model. The record is from RNAcentral. Lineage: Bacteria; Pseudomonadati; Pseudomonadota; Alphaproteobacteria; Hyphomicrobiales; Nitrobacteraceae.